This 375-nucleotide ribosomal RNA is filed under the name uncultured bacterium. RNAcentral describes it as "bacterial SSU rRNA". It matches the Rfam family "Bacterial small subunit ribosomal RNA", at positions 521 to 896 of the family's 1533-position model. The record is from RNAcentral.
UAAUACAGAGGGUGCUAGCGUUAAUCGGAAUUACUGGGCGUAAAGGGCGCGUAGGCGGUGAGAUGUGAGUGAUGUGAAAGCCCUGGGCUUAACCUAGGAAGCGCAUCGCUAACUAUCUGACUGGAGUAUAUGAGAGGGUGGCGGAAUUUCCGGUGUAGCGGUGAAAUGCGUAGAGAUCGGAAGGAACGUCGAUGGCGAAGGCAGCCACCUGGCAUAAUACUGACGCUGAGGCGCGAAAGCGUGGGGAGCGAACAGGAUUAGAUACCCUGGUAGUCCACGCUGUAAACGAUGAGAACUAGAUGUUGGUUGGGGAACCAAUCGGUAUCGAAGCUAACGCGAUAAGUUCUCCGCCUGGGAAGUACGGCCGCAAGGUUG